GAUGAAGAACGCAGCGAAAUGCGAUAAGUAAUGUGAAUUGCAGAAUUCAGUGAAUCAUCGAAUGUUUGAACGCACCUUGCGCCCUUUGGCUAUUCCGAAGGGCAUGCCUGUUUGAGUAUCGUGAACACCUCAACUCUCAUGGUUUGCCAUGAUGAGCUUGGACUUUGGGGGUUUUGCUGGCCUUUGGUCGGCUCCUCUCAAACGGAUCAGCUUUCCAGUGUUUGGUGGCGUCACGGGUGUGAUAACUAUCUACGCCUGUGGUUUUCUGCCAGAUAACCUUCAGCGAUGGAGGUUCGCUGGGGCUCAUAAAUGUCUCUCUUCAGUGGAGACAGCUUUUUGGACGUUUGAUCUCAAAUCAGGUAGGACUACCCGCUGAACUUAAGCAUAUCAAUAAGCGGAGGA
This 402-nucleotide unclassified non-coding RNA is filed under the name soil metagenome. RNAcentral's name for it is "partial contains 5.8S ribosomal RNA, internal transcribed spacer 2, and large subunit ribosomal RNA". The stretch from base 1 to 121 matches the Rfam family "5.8S ribosomal RNA", at positions 35 to 154 of the family's 154-position model. The record is from RNAcentral.